Long non-coding RNA from Chelonia mydas (Green sea turtle), 493 nucleotides. RefSeq lists it as uncharacterized. The transcript has 3 exons. Lineage: Eukaryota; Metazoa; Chordata; Testudines; Cheloniidae. The record is from RefSeq and is a predicted model, not a curated record.
UGCUAGGCAGAAACAAAAAUCAAUAUAGAAGUCAAGCCAUAUGAGCUCAUCUCUGAAUCACUGUGGACAUUUUGGUCUCUCCUCUCCUCUUUUUUUUUUUAGAAGACUCUUCCCUACUAAAAUGCAGCCACUUGCACUGAAGUCCAGACAACCCUGCGGAAAAUGGAAAGGAGAGGAACAGCUGGGAGACUCCAUCCCAUCUUGGCGGACAAUGACCUGGACUCAGCUAUUCAUGCCUUCAUCGCCUCCCAGCUGGACUAUGACAACAUGAUAGAUCCCGGUACAAAGCCUUCAACGUUUAGGAAAAAAACAUCUAGUACAAAACUCUGCAGCAUGUCUCCUCAGCAACACCAGCCACUGCAAGCAUAUCAAACUUGUGUUCUGCUCCCUCUGAUGCCUUUCCAUAAUAACAAGUUAAGAUCCAGGUCUCAGUCCUUAUGCUCAAUGGCCUAGGUUCAGGGCUUCUAAAAGACCUCCUAAAGUCCAGGAUAAA